RNAcentral lists this ribosomal RNA (485 nucleotides) under uncultured bacterium. Its description in RNAcentral is "partial 16S ribosomal RNA". It matches the Rfam family "Bacterial small subunit ribosomal RNA", at positions 29 to 523 of the family's 1533-position model. The record is from RNAcentral.
AGUGAACGCUGGCGGCGUGCUUAACACAUGCAAGUCGAACGAGAACGGAAUAUAGCUUGCUAUAUUUGUCAGCUAAGUGGCGCACGGGUGAGUAAUGUAUAGAUAACCCGCCCUUAAGAAAGGAAUAACAGUUGGAAACGACUGCUAAUGCCCUAUAUGCCUUUAAUACAUAAGUAUGCAAGGGAAACGCUUUAGUGCUUAAGGAUGGGUCUGUAUGGUAUCAGCUUGUUGGUGAGGUAAUGGCUCACCAAGGCUAUGACGCCUAACUGGUUUGGGAGGAUGAUCAGUCACACUGGAACUGAGACACGGUCCAGACUCCUACGGGAGGCAGCAGUGGGGAAUAUUGCACAAUGGACGAAAGUCUGAUGCAGCAACGCCGCGUGGAGGAUGACACAUUUCGGUGCGUAAACUCCUUUUAUAUAGGAAGAUAAUGACGGUACUAUAUGAAUAAGCACCGGCUAACUCCGUGCCAGCCGCCGCAGUAA